AAGGAGUCUAACAUGUUUGCGAGUGUUUGGGUGUAAAACCCGAGCGCGUAAUUAAAGUGAAUGCAGGUGGGAUGCGCAAGCUGCACCAUCGACCGAUCUGGAUCUUUUGUGAUGGAUUUGAGUAAGAGCACAUAUGUUGGGACCCGAAAGAUGGUGAACUAUGCCUGAAUAGGGCGAAGCCAGAGGAAACUCUGGUGGAGGCUCGUAGCGAUUCUGACGUGCAAAUCGAUCGUCAAAUUUGGGUAUAGGGGCGAAAGACUAAUCGAACCAUCUAGUAGCUGGUUCCUGC
RNAcentral lists this unclassified non-coding RNA (289 nucleotides) under uncultured fungus. Its description in RNAcentral is "partial contains 5.8S rRNA, ITS2 and 28S rRNA". It matches the Rfam family "Eukaryotic large subunit ribosomal RNA", at positions 668 to 961 of the family's 3401-position model. Lineage: Eukaryota; Fungi. The record is from RNAcentral.